RNAcentral lists this ribosomal RNA (590 nucleotides) under Salmonella enterica subsp. enterica serovar Enteritidis. Its description in RNAcentral is "partial 23S ribosomal RNA". It matches the Rfam family "Bacterial large subunit ribosomal RNA", at positions 711 to 1298 of the family's 2925-position model. Lineage: Bacteria; Pseudomonadati; Pseudomonadota; Gammaproteobacteria; Enterobacterales; Enterobacteriaceae. The record is from RNAcentral.
AGACCCGAAACCCGGUGAUCUAGCCAUGGGCAGGUUGAAGGUUGGGUAACACUAACUGGAGGACCGAACCGACUAAUGUUGAAAAAUUAGCGGAUGACCUGUGGCUGGGGGUGAAAGGCCAAUCAAACCGGGAGAUAGCUGGUUCUCCCCGAAAGCUAUUUAGGUAGCGCCUCGUGAAUUCAUCUCCGGGGGUAGAGCACUGUUUCGGCUAGGGGGCCAUCCCGGCUUACCAACCCGAUGCAAACUGCGAAUACCGGAGAAUGUUAUCACGGGAGACACACGGCGGGUGCUAACGUCCGUCGUGAAGAGGGAAACAACCCAGACCGCCAGCUAAGGUCCCAAAGUCAUGGUUAAGUGGGAAACGAUGUGGGAAGGCCCAGACAGCCAGGAUGUUGGCUUAGAAGCAGCCAUCAUUUAAAGAAAGCGUAAUAGCUCACUGGUCGAGUCGGCCUGCGCGGAAGAUGUAACGGGGCUAAACCAUGCACCGAAGCUGCGGCAGCGACACUGUGUGUUGUUGGGUAGGGGAGCGUUCUGUAAGCCUGCGAAGGUGGCCUGUGAGGGUUGCUGGAGGUAUCAGAAGUGCGAAUGCU